UACGUAGGGGGCGAGCGUUGUCCGGAAUUACUGGGCGUAAAGGGUGAGUAGGCGGUUUUUUAAGUUGGAUGUGAAAUACCCGGGCUUAACUUGGGGGGUGCAUUCAAAACUGGGGAACUAGAGUACAGGAGAGGAAAGCGGAAUUCCUAGUGUAGCGGUGAAAUGCGUAGAUAUUAGGAGGAACACCGGUGGCGAAGGCGGCUUUCUGGACUGAAACUGACGCUGAGGCACGAAAGCGUGGGGAGCAAACAGGAUUAGAUACCCUGGUAGUCCACGCUGUAAACGAUGAAUACUAGGUGUAGGGGGUAAUACUCCCUCUGUGCCGCAGCAAACGCAAUAAGUAUUCCGCCUGGGGAGUACGGCCGCAAGGUUGAA
RNAcentral lists this ribosomal RNA (375 nucleotides) under uncultured bacterium. Its description in RNAcentral is "bacterial SSU rRNA". It matches the Rfam family "Bacterial small subunit ribosomal RNA", at positions 524 to 898 of the family's 1533-position model. The record is from RNAcentral.